RNAcentral lists this ribosomal RNA (468 nucleotides) under uncultured bacterium. RNAcentral's name for it is "partial 16S ribosomal RNA". It matches the Rfam family "Bacterial small subunit ribosomal RNA", at positions 28 to 507 of the family's 1533-position model. The record is from RNAcentral.
GAUGAACGCUGGCGGCGUGCUUAACACAUGCAAGUCGAACGGAAAGGCCCAAGCUUGCUUGGGUACUCGAGUGGCGAACGGGUGAGUAACACGUGGGUGAUCUGCCCUGCACUUCGGGAUAAGCCUGGGAAACUGGGUCUAAUACCGGAUAGGACGAUGGUUUGGAUGCCAUUGUGGAAAGUUUUUUCGGUGUGGGAUGAGCUCGCGGCCUAUCAGCUUGUUGGUGGGGUAAUGGCCUACCAAGGCGUCGACGGGUAGCCGGCCUGAGAGGGUGUACGGCCACAUUGGGACUGAGAUACGGCCCAGACUCCUACGGGAGGCAGCAGUGGGGAAUAUUGCACAAUGGGCGCAAGCCUGAUGCAGCAACGCCGCGUGGGGGAUGACGGCCUUCGGGUUGUAAACUCCUUUCGCUAGGGACGAAGCGUUUUUGUGACGGUACCUGGAGAAGAAGCACCGGCUAACUACGUG